RNAcentral lists this transfer RNA (82 nucleotides) under Wigglesworthia glossinidia endosymbiont of Glossina morsitans morsitans (Yale colony). RNAcentral's name for it is "tRNA-Leu (GAG) (tRNA-Leu-GAG-1-1)". It matches the Rfam family "tRNA". Rfam says of the family: Transfer RNA (tRNA) molecules are approximately 80 nucleotides in length. Lineage: Bacteria; Pseudomonadati; Pseudomonadota; Gammaproteobacteria; Enterobacterales; Erwiniaceae. The record is from RNAcentral.
GCCGAGAUGGUGAAACCGGUAGACACGUUACUUCGAGGGAGUAAUGCCUAUAGGCAUGCGGGUUCAAAUCCCGCUCUCGGCA